AGGCGUGGCUUCCGGAGCUAACGCGUUAAGUAGACCGCCUGGGGAGUACGGCCGCAAGGUUAAAACUCAAAUGAAUUGACGGGGGCCCGCACAAGCGGUGGAGCAUGUGGUUUAAUUCGAUGCAACGCGAAGAACCUUACCUGGUCUUGACAUCCACAGAAGAAUCCAGAGAUGGAUUUGUGCCUUCGGGAACUGUGAGACAGGUGCUGCAUGGCUGUCGUCAGCUCGUGUUGUGAAAUGUUGGGUUAAGUCCCGCAACGAGCGCAACCCUUAUCCUUUGUUGCCAGCGGUUAGGCCGGGAACUCAAAGGAGACUGCCAGUGAUAAACUGGAGGAAGGUGGGGAUGACGUCAAGUCAUCAUGGCCCUUACGACCAGGGCUACACACGUGCUACAAUGGCGCAUACAAAGAGAAGCGACCUCGCGAGAGCAAGCGGACCUCAUAAAGUGCGUCGUAGUCCGGAUUGGAGUCUGCAACUCGACUCCAUGAAGUCGGAAUCGCUAGUAAUCGUGGAUCAGAAUGCCACGGUGAAUACGUUCCCGGGCCUUGUACACACCGCCCGUCACACCAUGGGAGUGGGUUGCAAAAGAAGUAGGUAGCUUAACCUUCGGGAGGGCGCUUACCACUUUGUGAUUCAUGACUGGGGUGAAGUCGUAACAAGGUAACCGUAGGGGAACCUGCGGUUGGA
RNAcentral lists this ribosomal RNA (687 nucleotides) under Salmonella enterica. RNAcentral's name for it is "bacterial SSU rRNA". It matches the Rfam family "Bacterial small subunit ribosomal RNA", at positions 835 to 1522 of the family's 1533-position model. Lineage: Bacteria; Pseudomonadati; Pseudomonadota; Gammaproteobacteria; Enterobacterales; Enterobacteriaceae. The record is from RNAcentral. RNAcentral also lists the same sequence under 1 other name.